GCGUUCGUGGUGUAGUGGUUAGCACGUUCGACGUGUAACCGAGAUUUCCGUGGUUCGAUUCUCGGUGAAGGCG
RNAcentral lists this transfer RNA (73 nucleotides) under Stegodyphus mimosarum. It matches the Rfam family "tRNA". From Rfam's summary of the family: Transfer RNA (tRNA) molecules are approximately 80 nucleotides in length. Lineage: Eukaryota; Metazoa; Arthropoda; Arachnida; Araneae; Eresidae. The record is from Rfam by way of RNAcentral.